Molecule: non-coding RNA, 7482 nt
Organism: Vicugna pacos (alpaca)
Lineage: Eukaryota; Metazoa; Chordata; Mammalia; Artiodactyla; Camelidae
Source: RefSeq, a predicted model, not a curated record
CCACGUCUGAGCUGUGUCACUGUGGGUGAGUCACUCAACCUCUCUGAGCCUUCGGUGCAACAUCUGUGAAAAAAGGAUGAUACCUUCCUCGCAAAACUCUUUAAUCCAAUGAAGAAACUCUCAACAUCCUUAUUCUCCAGGCAGUUUGUGUCCUGCCUAAGAAUUCUCAGGCUUCAGUCAUCUGACUGCAAGUGUCUCUGCUAAGGAGAGAAGGACACUGAGGACAAACUCCAAGGAAGGCACUUGCCCUCAGGAACCUCCCAGUAAAAGUAAUAAAAUCUACAAAUUGAAGGGUGGUGUCGCCUCAGGGCUCAUAGGUCCAACAGGCGCUGAAUGCUUAUGAAAGUAUAUCGACGUGGUGUGUGCAUGACGCGGGAGCCUGGGUUUGCAGGUUGCUUCUUGGUUGAAGCCCUUCUAUUUGCUGUGUUCUAAAGGCAGAGAAAUACAAACAAGCCAAUUUUAACUUAGCUGUCACUUCACACGAGCAGACUGGUGGAAAGGGGUCCUGUGUGGGUCGCAGGUAGGAGCUCUAAACGCUGGAGGAGGUGUAAUGCAUCAGCACUUGGAGCACGAUCAUUAGCAUUCAAGGGAAUUCUACAGGCUGCUCACGGUCAGUGCCUCUUUUUCCAAAGUGCAGAAAAACAUACGCAUUUUGCCUCCUAACACUCCACAGAAUGCGUUUGGAGCAAAACUUGGAUGCUCAAGGAAUUGCCAAAAGUUGUUUGCGUGUCUGUCCUGUUUUCGAGCUGCAGAUUCAGUAAGUCAGAAGCAAGAACCCAAAGGAUGAAGGGCUUAAACAGCUGGGGCUGGGAUCUCGCACAAAUCACCUUGGCUUACAAUCUUUCUGGCAGCUCAUUCAGUCUUUAAUUUUUAAAUAAAUUUGUCCGAUUUAUUUUUUUGCCUAACACUCCUCUCCACAGAGUCAAUGGGGCUUUAUCAUCAUACACUUUUUUUUUUAAGCCCCAAGUGUUUGGCUUAGAAAUGAAACAGAAAGUUAGUAUUUGAGAUGCUCCGCUGCUUCCUCAAGUACGCCAGGUGAGAAGCGCCAGGUGAGCAGAGUCGGGUCAGGUGGGAUGGAGGCCCCCAAGUGGGAUCUCUGGUGGGGAAAUACCUUCCUGAUGCUUUACAUGCGGAGCAGGGAGGUGAGGUGCCCUCACUGUUUUAUAGCUUUUGGAGUCAAACCUAAAUCAAGAGACAGAAGUCAAGAUGACUUAAGAGGUCUUGGAAAAAAGGCAGGUCUCUUACAGAAUUGCAUGUUUUUAUACGGCCUUUGCAGAGAGAAAGUUGUGAUUCAGGGUCUGUAAUUUUUAUUUACAGACUUUCAGUUCUGCUCUUGCUUGGUUGAAACCAUUGGUUCCGUCUUUCAUUUCCUGUAUCGCUGAGAGCAGCUUCUCUGCAUUCCUACGGGGUCCGGAUCAGCCCUCGGAUGAGCAGGGCCCAGUCCGCGGCUUCUGCCUGCACAGGGCUGGGGGGGUUCUGGUUCACGUCGGGGGGACCCCUUCCCAACGUGGACGUGAGCGCUGUGAUGCUGGGAUGCGUGGAGAGAGGGCCCGUGUGGACUCCCACAGCCACGCAUGUAACUGAAGACGUGAUACCAAAUGCAGAAGUCGACAAGGGGAGAAAAUGCCAUUUCAUCUGCACGUGGAACUAUGGUUUUGUACCAGAGCGAACAUCAGAAGAUUCGGGGGAACUUGAAAGUUACCUGAGGCCUUUGGCUUAGAGAUUAAAACUUCAUUUUCUAUUCAUUCUAAAUAUUAGGCAGAUUCUGACUCCUCAACAUGCACGAAAAGAAAGGAAGAAAAGAAAAGAAGAGAAAAAUAAAUGGCAUAUUUUUGUGCACUUUGAGAAAGAAGGAACGGGUUAUUACCAGUCUUCAGUAUUCUCCUUAACGCUAGAAAUUAAGCUCGAAUUCCUUGAGCAGAAAACCAGUUUGUAAGAAAAGUCCUGUGAACCCAGAGGUGGAGAGAUGGGGGCCUGGGGGCUCCCUGACUGUGCUGGUCACACUCUUACUGUCACGUCACGAUUAACUACGUCCCCUAGCCUUCAACAUGUCGCAGGUUUUAGAGGACACAUCGCUCGAGGGCAUUCUGAGAAUUACCUAGCACGCAUUCGAAAAAGCAAGCAAAAUGCCCCCUUUUAUCUUUUUAAGAACACAGUGUCUCAAUUAUCUCAUCUUGGGGAUGGACCAGGGGAAAAUCCAGAAAAUGUGAGUUCUGUUAUCUGGCCACUGAGCCCCGUUCUGCCUGAGGUUUGCCUCUCGAAUCCAUCUCAAGGCUAUAUGGUGCAUCCUGGGCCUGAUCCUAGGGAAAGGAAAGAGGGGGUACAGGGGCACCAGCACCCAGAGGACCCCGGAGCCACCCAGCUUUCACCCAGCCUUCCUCGGAUGGGUGGGACGGAGAUGCACAGAGCUCCCCAGCCUAGGGAGCAGGCACAGGGGGAGCAAGAGCCCCCUUUUCCUCCCAGGUCACACCUGGUCCUAAAACCCCCAUCAGGAGGAAGCAGCCUGGGGACACCACAGUGAUAAACGUCUCCCUCACUGACUGUUUUCCUAAGCCCACAGACCUCUCCCUCUCGCUGUGUGUCCUUCACUCCUGGGUGCCCUCAGGGUUCUGCUCUUUCUUGGGUGUGCUCCGCGCUGGGAAUCAGCGCCACUGUGAUGGGGAAGGUGCUGGGGGAGGGGGAGGGCCAGCAUCGCUCCCACAGACCCGAAGGCUCCCCCUGCGAGGGCGGGAAGCUUCUCCUACCUUCCGGGACCGACAGAGUUUAGUUACCUGCACGUCAGGUGCGCGUGGCACCUGCUGCACAUGUCUUUUAGUAAAUGGGUCUCCUGUUACCCAUUAGAGAAUCCUGUCCUCCUUUUUAGGGGAAAUUUCUCUCGUAGGAAAAAUUUAAAACGCUUGUUCACUCAACAUGGUAUUUCAACUUCAAAACUAAAAAAGAAGAAGGGCGUGUCCCCAUUCUGUGCGGAAUAAGACUUUGGCUCUGCAGAUGUGAAUACGUAUGGCCGUUAGCCCCCUGACCAAGGGCAGCUGUCACUUUUAGGUCCCCUUCAGGAAAACGACGUCCCAGGCGAGGACACAGGCCACGGCCAGGGGCAGCGCUUACAGCAGGUGAUACCCGCUUCUCUGUUUCUGCACCUUUCUUGUCUAAUUCAGUGUUUGCUCUUUGCUAAGAGUUUCUGCUCUGCUGUUCUUCCAGACCCCCUUCCGCUGUAGAGGUGGAAACCUGUGCCAGGCUUUCCUUUAUGAAAACCCAAGGUCUGCUUCUGCGUAGCUGAGAGGCUCCCCCCACCCCACCGACACCUCCUCUGCCAAGGACAGUGCUGGCGUUUAAGAACAAAUCUCCAGGAGAAUGAGGGACUGUGACUGUCCGGGAGCUGCAGACCCCCUGCUCCACGUGCCUCCUGGGGAGACACUGAUGGCUGCCUCGGGGGAAGGGCCUGGGCCUGCAGGACAGGCCGGCACAGGCGUCCACCUGUCUGUUUGUCUUUCUGCCCAAGGAGCAAAACUUAGAGGUGCAGCAGGCAAACAGACCCAGGAGGACCCCAGCACAGCGGCUCCCAGGCUCUUCAUGAGAACGCUUUUGUCGUUCGAUCUGUGACUUCUGCUCAGUCAGGAAGCAAAGCGGGACUGUCGUGCAAGACUGGAUCAUUUCUGUUACGUUAGUGACAUCUUUGCAUGGCUGCUCUUUUGGGAGCCUCUCCAGUGGGGAAGUUGUCUAGAGUCCUAGGGAAAAUAAACUCUCCCCUCAAAUUCUUCUACAGCGGUGAAUGCAGGAGGAAAUCAGACCGUCCUCUUCCAUCUUUACUCACCGCGCAUCCUGAGCAGCCAUCUCGGAGCUCAGCAGGUUUUCUCUCCUCUUCCCCGAAACCAGAAUCAAGGAACAACGCGACAGGAAUACAUUACGGUGGAAAAGCCUGCACUUGUAUCAGAGAAUCAACACCCCAGACGUCCUCCUCUACAGUGACAACUGAUUACCGAAAACAAACCGAGAAGCCUGGAAUCCGUGUUUCCCAUCUGGAGGCGCCGCAGCCUGGCUCUCACGGCUGACCUCAGAGAGUGAAAAAUCCUCCUCCAGGAACUGGGCUUCAGUUGACGUGGCAAAGCCUGCGCCCCUCUCCCGGGAGCCACAGGACCCUGCGACGUGGAGCCGACUCCAUCCGGAGCUGCCAGGAGGUGAUUCCCAUGUUGCGGGGUGGGGAGCAGGAGGGGAGGAAUGUGUUUUCAUUAUCAGAAACUGUUUCCUGUGUCCAAAUGUGAUUUCUCUACGCCCUGCAGUCUCCACUCAGUUGGAAGCGGAGGAAAUCAUAGACGCACACAGGAAGGGUUCUCUCCCAGGUUUAAGAUAAAGCCUGAGUCCGCUGUGUCAGUCAAACACCCCGUUCUGUCUCCAGCUCUCUCUCUCUUUCUCCCACCACCUCACCUUCAAUCUUGCCCAAAGCAUUAAACAGUCACUGUAUGUUUUAGGCUAAAUACGCCAUUCCAUUUAUCUGCAAAUUUUAAAUAUAUGUAUUAUAUUUUUAAAAUCUUUUUCUUUGGGGGGAGGUAAUUAGGUUUAUUUAUUUAUUUAUUUUUUAGUGGAGGUCCUAGGGAUUGAACCCAGGACCUCCCGCAUGCUAAGCACACGCUCUCCCACUGAGCUAUGUCCUCCCCUCAAAUAUAUUAACAGGAAUGCAAGUGAAGUGACCCACCUGAAACUUGAAAACUUUGCCUGUAAUCCCUCCAUCCCACGACAGAGAGGUGACAGACAGACAGACAAACAUGACAAUGUAAGUAGAAAAUGUCCAGAAGGAAGCCAAAGAAUAGCAAAAGGAAGAGAAAGCCUGGCUUGAGUUCCCCUCUCCUGACAUCCAAGUCACCACAGAAGGUUCUCCACAUACAUAUGUUAAUCCAACAUUCCUUCAAGCUCCAAGCCCAGGCGCGCAAAGCAGUGCCAGCACCUUUGCUAAGCAAAUGUCAGCUAUCGGCGGCCUGAACAGAGGGCUGUUUCCAGUCCCUGGAGUGACGAUCUGCGCUGGGGAGGAAAGGCCAGCCUGUUUGUCUCCUUCAGCGUUGACUCGACCUGUUCGAAGUGAGAAGCCUGGACGUGAAGACUGUGUGGCUGAGCCGGGCCCCUUCUUUGGGGGCCUGACCCCGCCUAGGGGCUGCCAGCUGGGCUGAGGGUCAGCUGUCAGCCCUCAGUGGCCAUUUGCUUCAGUUGUUCUCCGGUGUCACUACGCUGCCACGAAGGAGGUGGUGUGAUGCAGUUUUGGACUCAGUCUUAAGCUCAAACAAUGGGUCCGGUUGGCUACCAUUUUAUUGCUAUCCUCAAAGUACCUUUGCAAGUUUAAUUAAUGGGAAAUCAACCGUAAAAUUUAUCUAUUAAAAUCAAAUACCGGGGGGCUGGAUUUGCUUUUGUUGUGUAUUUCCUGGUGGUUCAGGUCUUUCUCCUCACUGUUCCCAGCUGGGUUCCCUGACCCUGUCCCAAAGCUCAGGAACAACUAUUUUUAGACCCAGGCAAGCCCCAGGGCUUCAGACGGUAAAUCAUUAGCUGUGACUUUAAAAAUAGUCCUUGAGCCACUUUGGAAACAUUGAUUUCUCCACAGCAUGUGGACUUGGAUUUAUAUCCCACCUUUGCAGCUCAGUCCCCAUAAACAGACUGAACCCAACCACCAAGACUGCCCACAGCGGAUGUCUCAGGGCGGAGACAGAGCUGUAACAGUGGGGCUGCGCAGCGUUUAUAAAACAAACGUCAGGCAUGGCCACAGGCCUCCCCCAGGUUCCUUACUCAGCACCACACAGGCCGGCCGGCACCCAGUCGGAGUCGAGAGUCCACGCUGGACUCCGGGCUUCAUAUUUUAUUCCAUAACGUGCGGUCAGAUGAGGGCGGAACUUUACCUCUUAGAAAGGCCUGGAUGUUCUGAGUCUACACCAGCGAAGUCUCCUGCAGAACUUCUGCCACCAGUUGCUGCCUCUGGUGUUUCAUAAACUCGCCAAAUGUCAGAAUGAUGUCAUUCUGGACUCCUUGUUUGACAGAGAGGAAACUGAGGCCUAGAGAAGGGAAGGGACUGUUAGGAAAGUUGUGGCAAUAUCGCGAUGGCAUGAGAGGGGUCCUGACUCUCGCUGAGCCAUACUGUGAGCAUAACGUUCUGCCUGACGCAGACGGGGGCUGCUUCCCACGCAGUUCAGCAGAACACAGGAACAUGCAUCUGUUAGAGCAUCGCUGCCCUAGAUGCUGUUGGGGAGAUGAGGUAGCGAGGAAAAUUCAGAGUCUCUAUGAUCACGUGGCACAAUUCUACACGUGGUCAAUCUCACCUUUAGCAGGGGAGUAGGAGAGGAGUUACUGCAAAUGUUACACUUUUCAUCAACGCCAACGAUUCUGCUUCCAGAAAAGACUCAGCUUUCUGCUGGUCUAAAGGACAUUUCAAAAACGGAAAAGGAAAAAAAAAGAAGAAGAAGAAAGAAUAAUAGGAUAAGAAGAAGGAGAUUUUGUUUUGGUGCACUUUUUUUCUUUUCUUUCUUUCUUCUUUUUUUUGAGUAGAGGAAGCCCUCUUUCACACCAGAUUUAAAAGGAAGGCGUUUUAGAAGCGACAGAUGCAAAUACCCACCUCCACUGUUUGUUCAGCUUUGGCCAAGUUAGAGGUCAGUUUCCAGUUGUUGACAGGGAAAAGGCUAGCGAGCAAAAUACCUUUAUCAUUAAAUAUUAUCUUGUGAAAAUAUUUACACGGGUGUAAGCAUAGAACAUCGUGCUAAUAAUGGGACACACACAUUUGGAAACUGUAAUCCAGCCCCACGAAACAAUACCCAGGAAAAGCGUCUGUUUUCCUCCCUCCCGGGUGUGCACGAUGCUUAUAGUUCAGGCUUUGCAGAUGUGUGAUGGACGCCUACUUCCAUGGAUUACAAUGGCUCUUGGUCAAAUAGGAUCCUUUUUAUUACUUCCCCAGAUGAAAUGCAAGAGAGCUUGGAGUUUCUGUGAUAAAGUGUCACUCCUAACAAUCAAACUUCAUUAAAAUUACAUUCCUAUUUGGUGAGCAUUCUUGCGUUCCUCCACUGUUGCUCUGUCGCUGCUCUUCUAUGGCUUUUCAUAGUGAAAGAGCAGUGCCAACAAUCAAAGAUAGGGUCUUGGGUGCCUUGUAACUAACUCUCCAUUCCCUGAGAGCCUGGGGGUUGCCCAAGGCCCUUCCCAGUGGAGCUGACACUGAGAAAAGAUUCAUGUGACAAGGAGGAGGGGAAUUGGGGGGAAAAUAAAGUAACUCCUUUUUCCCCUGGGAGUUCCAGGACCUGGCUAUGUGGACUUUCCACACACACGUGAACCAAGCUUUGCACCCAGGGGCGCAUGGUGCAUCACUCUGCCUGAUUUUGCAGUCUCAUCCUCUUCUUAGUCCUCAGAGUUCAGGUUCCUGCCACGGCCUCUUGGCUGAGUCUUGGGCCAGCGGUCCCCAAAGUCCCCUUCACCCAGCUCACCCAAGCCAGGCCAGCUUCCUAAAUGUGGCUUUCACCCUCC